This is a long non-coding RNA of Anguilla rostrata (American eel), 774 nucleotides long. RefSeq lists it as uncharacterized. The transcript has 4 exons. Lineage: Eukaryota; Metazoa; Chordata; Actinopteri; Anguilliformes; Anguillidae. The record is from RefSeq and is a predicted model, not a curated record.
UGUGUGUGUGUGUGUCAGUGUGUGUGUGUGUGUCUGUGUGUGUGUGCAUGUGUGGUUGUGUGUGUGUGUGUGUGUGUGUGUGGUCUCUCCACAGGCUGGGUUGGUGUAAUCUCACAGAGGGCUGCUGUGGUGUUCUGGCCUCAGUCCUGCGCUCUCCUCACUCAGAGCUGAGAGAUCUGGAGCUCAGAGACAAUGAGCUGCAGGAUUCAGGAGUGAGAGCGCUCUCUGCUGGACUGGAAGACCCACACUGUAAACUGCAGAGACUUGGGCUGUCAGGCUGUAGAGUCACACAGAGAGGCUGUGAUUCUCUGGCUUCAGCUCUGUGUUCAAACCCCUCACACCUGAGAGAGCUGGACCUGAGAUACAAUCACCCGGGAGACUCAGGAGUGAGAGCGCUGUCUGCUGCUAAACUGGACACACUCACACUGCUUGUGGACCAUGGAGGAGAGAACAGGACCAAACCAGGACCCAGGAAAUACGGCUGUCAGCUCACACUGGAUCCAAACACAGUGAACAGAAACCUGUCUCUGUCUGAGGGGAACAGGAGGGUGACACACACAUGGGGGAGAGUGGAGCCAUAUCCUGAUCAUCCAGAGAGAUUUGAGGGCUGGCCCCAGGUUGUGUGCAGAGAGAGUGUGUGUGAGCGCUGUUACUGGGAGGCUGAGUUCAGUGUGUCUAAGGGGGGAGAGGUUCAUAUAGCAGUGACAGAUAAAGGAAUCAGCAGGAAAGGAGGGCGUUCUGACAGUAUGUUUGGACGAAUUAAAAACUCCUGGA